RNAcentral lists this ribosomal RNA (498 nucleotides) under uncultured bacterium. Its description in RNAcentral is "partial 16S ribosomal RNA". It matches the Rfam family "Bacterial small subunit ribosomal RNA", at positions 28 to 507 of the family's 1533-position model. The record is from RNAcentral.
GACGAACGCUGGCGGCGUGCCUAAUACAUGCAAGUCGAGCGGACGAAUCGAAAGCUUGCUUUUGAUUCGUUAGCGGCGGACGGGUGAGUAACACGUGGGCAACCUGCCCUGUAGACGGGGAUAACACCGAGAAAUCGGUGCUAAUACCGGAUAACACGAAAUGUCGCAUGACGUUUCGUUGAAAGACGGCGCAAGCUGUCGCUACAGGAUGGGCCCGCGGCGCAUUAGCUAGUUGGUGAGGUAACGGCUCACCAAGGCGACGAUGCGUAGCCGACCUGAGAGGGUGAUCGGCCACACUGGGACUGAGACACGGCCCAGACUCCUACGGGGGGCAGCAGUAAGGAAUCUUCCGCAAUGGACGAAGGUCUGACGGAGCAACGCCGCGUGAGCGAAGAAGGCCUUCGGGUCGUAAAGCUCUGUUGUUAGGGAAGAACAAGUAACGCAGUAACUGGCGUUACCGUGACGGUACCUAACGAGAAAGCCACGGCUAACUACGUG